AUGGCAACCCGCAUCACAAAGGAGGCAACCACAAAUUUGGGGCAGGGCAAGGCUGGGUGCCACUUUGCCUGUGAGCUGACUGGAGAGAGGAGCUUGACUGCUUGGCUCUCUCUGCGCAUCACAAGCAUGGCUGCUUUCUGGGGAAUGAGCUUCUUUCUCAGCCUGAAGAAUUACAGUAUCUUCUACCGUAUCCUCUGGAAUGUGCUGAUCAUAUCAUUAGUUGAAUUCAUUAUGGAUUUGUGGAAUCGGAGGGGUGGGAGACCAAGGAGGUACCGCUGCAGAGGCAACGUGGAGAAUCACAGAGUUGUGGACCUCCACAAUGCUUCACAGUGCUCAAGGACACACUGCUUCCCGAUCCUGGAGAGGGAAGAUGCGCGUGAAGCACGCUGUCAGCUUGACAGGAGCCUUGAGGAAUUUCACAGACGCUUGGAAAUGUCAAUCAUUGAGAUGUCAGAGGACUCUCUCAGAUCCAACCAGGCAGUGGAAACCCACUCAUCACCUGAGACGUCUCUGUCCUCUUGGAGUGACAACUCCCUCACUCCGAUUGAGGAAAUGGGAGCUGGGUGCUCUUCAAGGGCCUCUCUGUCCUCCUUGAGCAACAACUCCCUUGCUGCUGUUGUGGCAACAGAAGCCGACUGUACUUUGAGUGCCCCUCUGCCCCCUCCCAGGGAAGGCUCCUGCACUUACGUCAAGGCAGAUGAAGGCAGCUGCAUUUCACAGCUGUCACUCAUCACUCCUCUGCAUGGAGCAGACUUGGGUCAUGCUGCCGUGGCCCAGCCUGACCUCAUGCUUUCAGAUGCUCUUGAGCCCCAAAAAGUCCAGGAGACCUUGGCCCACGUCGAACCACAAAGGAAACCAGAGGAGGAAGUGGGCCUGCCAGCCUGUGGAGAAGGGACUUUGCAGGAAAUCUCGUCUCCUCAGAAGCCUCAGCAACCAUCAGAGCUCGAUGUGGAGGUGGUGCCCAGGGUGCCGAAGCCGCUGUUCCUGGAUGAGGCUGUGAAAAGGCAGCUGGAGCGGCACAUGGUAAAAAUGCAGAUACAGCGGUGCUUUGGGCUACCAGAGAAGGUUCUGGCUUCUUACAAGAAGUUCUCAGAGCCUGUCUGGGAGCUACAAGACUGCCAGCCUCCUCCACAGAGGCACACUGUGCUGCCCUACCGCUCGCCCUUCCAGCGCUGGGACAGCCGUGCUCGCAUCAGGAAGACGGCAGUGCAGCCCCCUGGCCCGCAGCAAGAGUCCACAGCCCCUGUGGAAACAUGCACACAAGGAACACAGACGCCUGUCCACUCUGUGCCAGCAGCUUUUGUGAGAGUGGCAAAAGAGGUGCCUUGUGAAGAUUUGGAUAAACUCCCUCUGAAAAGGAAGUAUGGGGGAACAGUCAGGAGCAGCAACCCAGCCAGAAAGAAGACCCUGCCUGGCAGCCGCACAAAGGAGCAGGGCCCUGGGACAAAAGGGGGUGAUCCUGGUUCCUCCUUUUACAUUCAGGAAGAGCAGACAGUGCCACAGAGAGAGGGAGCUCCUCAGCAGAAGGCAGGACAGGAUGAUGAGACCACCACCCUGACCACCGGGGUCAACACGGGGGUACCAGAGCCAUCACAAUGUAGGACAGCUCCUUCAGGAAAUAAUUCCCUGCAGAUAGAAGACUCUUCCACUAAGGACACUCCCAUAGAUCUGCCACCACCUCCAAGACCUGCAGGGAACAGCCUUCAGAUGCCCAGCCUGGAAGAGAUGCUCAGAGCACUCACAGACCUGGUCAGGGUCAGCACAAUGGCUGAACACCUGCAGAACCAGCUGCUGGCUUCGUGGCUAGAGGAGUCCCAGGACAAUGCGGGGCACCCAAGGUUGGCUGCAGAGCACCCCAUUGCUGCACCAUGCAGAGCACAGAAAGCAGCACAGAAGGGCGAGGGACUCAGGCAGCACCAAAUCAGCUCCAGGAGGCUCUACCCCAAGUGCAGCAAAGCCCCAUGCCACAGUGUGCCUUGCAGUGAAGGCAUGUGCACUUCAGCUCCAGCUGUGGCCGGAGUACCAGGCACAGUAGGAGGAGAGGUGACAGUGGGAGAGAAGAAUCUAGCUGGGGAAGGGCCCAGAAGGGAGCAAGGCCAGAAACAGACUGCUGCUGCUGCCCAGCAGCCAGAGGGGGUCCGUGUAUACCAAUAUGUGGUAGCAAUCCCUGCAGUCAAGCAGAGGACAAAUCUGUCCCAGCAGACACCUACCAGGACCCUGCCAUCACAAACAGAGCACCUGCCCAAAUGUGCAUCAGCCACGCCCAGGAGCCCAGCACCAGAGACAUCACCUCAGCCAAGCUGCUGCUGUGGUUGUCUCAUCCCCAUCCUCCUUUGCCUGCAGAAAGCAUGGGCCAAGCUCCUAGGUGCAGGCAAAGCCCUGUAUUCCAAAAUCUGGUAG
Molecule: long non-coding RNA, 2400 nt
Filed under: Numida meleagris (helmeted guineafowl)
Lineage: Eukaryota; Metazoa; Chordata; Aves; Galliformes; Numididae
Description: lncRNA (ENSNMEG00000005463.1)
Source: RNAcentral